AAGAGAUGAUGUGCUUAGAUUGUG
Molecule: non-coding RNA, 24 nt
Filed under: Arabidopsis thaliana (thale cress)
Lineage: Eukaryota; Viridiplantae; Streptophyta; Magnoliopsida; Brassicales; Brassicaceae
Source: RNAcentral